Strigops habroptila (Kakapo) is the source of this 5361-nucleotide long non-coding RNA. RefSeq lists it as uncharacterized. NCBI's taxonomy places the organism in Eukaryota, Metazoa, Chordata, Aves, Psittaciformes, Psittacidae. The record is from RefSeq and is a predicted model, not a curated record. The transcript has 2 exons.
GUUCCCACCCAACUUGGUGUUGUUUGCAAACCUACUGAGGGUGCACUCGAUCCCCUCAUCCAGAUCAUCAAUAAAGAUGUUGACUGUCUUCUGUUGGUAUCUGUAUCAGACAGUGGCACAAAAUUGCUAAAAUAAGUCUACCGAGUGCUAAAACUCAAGUGACCUUUCUGCUGGAGUUCUCCAGAACACUUUUCCUGCUUUAUCUUUCUAGAAACACUUGUUAGUGCUGUAUUUGUUAAAGAGGGUGGUGGUUCCAUAGUCACUGCUGAGCCAUCGUUCUGACAUGUGCUUUCUAUUUAGAAGGGUUUUGCUUUGGAGUGAGUCAGGUGGACUGUGCAUAUUGAUCAGCCAACAUUCAAAUGAGAAAAGGUAGUAACUAAGAAUUGUGAGAUGUUCGUGGGAUUAUGGGGUCCUAUUCUUUCUCUGGGGUCUCUUCAGAAUUAAGUAGCUUUAAAAGCUAAAAGGACUGAGGAAGAGUGUGGCUCUUCUUCAUGCUGUUUAUUUUGAAGUACUCUAAAAACAAGUCACAACUCGGAAGUGGUGGGUGACUUCACAAUACCUAAAAUGUUUUAAGUAUAUGGAUCACGUGUAAUUUAUGUGAUCCAUGCAUAAUUCAUAUUGAUUGUUAUGUCCAAGCACUUAAGACAGUUUUAAACUAAGCUGUAUAAAUAAUACAGAGAGAUACUCACUUGUGUGCAUGCACACCAAUAGGUAGGGUAUAUUCUCUUCUUAAAAUGUCUAGCUGCAGUGUGCAUGGUACAUUUCCUAAAUUCCCUGAACUGUAGAAUACUAGGAAGAAGAAAGAGGUAGUUGUGCAUAUGGUACAGCCCAUUCUGGAGCACUUCAGUAAGUAUAAAAUGUUUUUAAGCUCCCGUCCCUGCAUGUGUAGACACUAUCAGUGGUUUCCAGCCAGCCUGAGUGUAACAUGACGGGAGAAGGAACUGGUGUCUCUAGUUUCUGAGACCAACUUCAGCUUCUGUUACAGAAGAUUUCUCUGUUUCCAUCAUAGUCCAGCUACUUGAGCCUUUUUGCUGAUGUGUUUAUAACUUCCCAGAAACUGAGGCAAGAACUUGUGAUUAUUGAAUCAACACUAUUGGCUUCCACCAGAAGUGGUGGAAUGACAGUGGUUCAUCCGUAAACUUGUAUUGAUGCUGUUAAUCUAUUAACUACUGUGCUUCUGCAUGCUGCAUUAAAUUCUUCUCAAUUCAAUGGUGAAGUCUAGCUGCUUCAGCAAUUGCCAUCAGUGCUGUCCUCAAGAACACACAGACAGGUUGACUGCAACUUUGAAUUUGGUGUUGCACAGAUGUAAACCAUCCUGACAUCCUCUGUGAGAAAGGAAGGUCUGUGGUGUGGUGGAAGAAGCCUCCAGUUGCUCUAAGAAGUGGUCUAAUGCAUUCUGAAAAUAGUCCAGAUGAAGUACACUCAUCUGGGUUGUUCUCUAGGAGCUUCCUGGUCUCCGCUGGAAGAGCAGAUUGCCCUUGACUUUGCACUAAGUCCAGAGACUAGUGGCUACAGAUAGGACAUUGCAUGCGGGACCUCCUGCUGCAUCUUUGAGAUGGCUCAGCUCUGGAGAAAGCUUUCUCCACAUGGUAAGGCAUGCCUAGUGCAAGUCUCCAAUUAUGAAGUAGAACAGAGUAUCUCAGAAAUAGGCUUUCAUCAUAAAACUAGGUGCAGGUUAAUGGUUACGUUAGGCUUGAAUUUGCAUAUGAGAAUGCUUGGUGCUCUUUCACCUGCACUAUUCUCCGACAGUAUCUUCUAUUAGCUGAGAAAGUAUGAACUAUGUUCUAAAAUGACAAAGUAACCAGUUCCAUCAAUGAGAGGGGUAGCUGCUACUUCUAAAUGCAUUUUUGUGCCGUGCGUCUAGAGAGAAAUAAGGAAAGCGGUGUUGGAGUAGCGUGGCAUAUUCAUACAGAAAUUAGAUCACUCAGUUACACUAAAACAUUUAUAUUAGGAGCAAGAAAUUCUUCAUGUUUACAGAUGUUCAAAGUCUGCCACCAAAAGGUUAUAGGUAGGCAACAGAGUCAAAUGGGAAGAUCAUCUGUGUUGCAUAUGUCAAGAUACUGGCUUGAAAGAAAUAAGGCAGAUAAAUAAUAAAGUUAAGCUUUGCGGGAAAUUGAAGGACAUUUGGAGAUUUUAAUCUCAAGAAAGCUUUUGUUUCUUUUUGGUCAUUGCCACACUUAAAUGAACUAGAAAAAGAAAAUCGAAUUUUCUAGCUGGCUAAGUAAAUAAUGGGUGACUGCUGUAAAAAAAGACCUUCAGGAUGGACAUGUGCUCCUGGGAGAACUUUCUUCGGAUAAUUCAUGGCCAUGAUGCCUGCGUCAAGUUAAUCAUGGAAAAAGAUGAAGUUGUGAGAUGGACUAGAAGAAAGAAACAGGAUGCCCAGUAAUAGAAUCCUCUGAAUAAGUUGUUCUUAUUUAUUUAUACUGAUGGCAUGGGCUGAGUAUUAUGUACUGAAAUCUGACCCUUUGGAAUGUGAAGAUUGAGAAACUCGAAUGAUUGCUGCUGCUAGACAAAAAAUACGUGGUUAUAUAGUUUUCUAAUUACGUUAGUAGUCUUGAGACACUUCUCUCUAGACUUGCUAUGAGGACUGCAGAUUUAGUCUUUGCUUACAUAUAACAAAAGAUACGACUGAUAGUAUGGCAUGUUUGAAAGGGUUAUUAGUUAAUUUUUAAGAUUGUUUUGAUACUGUCAUAAAACCCAACCAUAUAUAUCAUCAAGGUAUUCCACAGGCAUAUAUGACUAUAGGACUUAAUAUGGUCUCCGAACUUUAGAUUAGCUCCAGCUUUGUUCCAGGCUAGUAUGUCUCUGCUUGAAUACUGCUACCUUUGACAAUCUUCACUGUAUGUUCUUGUAACAAAAAAGCUUUUUUGACCUCAGAGUGGAAAGCAUAAUGGGGCAAGAAUUACUAUUUUGUAAGCACUGGAGGGCCUUGAUGUGUGCUACAAACCUCUAAGAAUGUUUUAGAAAAUCAAAGCAUAAGCUUUUCUAUUAGCUACAGCUUUUCUGUUGAGAAACAAAGUAGUGAUACCUACUACUAAGCUGACAUAUAUUUAUUAGGUCUUUGGCUUACUGAAUAUAUGUGUAAGAAUUGCUCACUGCUUUGCUGCUGCCAUAGCAUAUAUAUUAGCAGUGGAUGUAUAGUACUUGAACUCUGAAACAAACCCCUCUUAGGAGUAGUGAAGGAGAGAGCAGAAUCUAUGUCAACGCUGCCUAGUACUCUUCAUUGUAAGGGACUUGUAUCCCUUUUGUGUGAGGGCUUUAUCGGGAUAGUUUCUUACGGAACUGAAGAAAAAAGAACAGUGCUAGAAAUGAGGGGGUUUCUACACUCAAAAGAUGACAGUUACAAAUUGAGUGACAGAUACAUUGUACAGUCCAAUUAGCUCAUGCCUUCUAUGCAUUAAGAAUCCUGGCAGUGUUGUAUUUGGCAUUCUCUUUUGCCUGAUGUCUCGUGGAGGAUUUCACAGAACUAAGACUGGGGACUGCAAAGAUAGAAUGAACUGUCAUUAGAACUGCAAAAAUCACGUAUUUAAGACAGGUAUUUAUGAAGUAAAUGUUCCUUUUCAUGGAUGUUAGAAGCUAAAUAGAGAUGAAGGCUGAUAAGGAAAAGCAUGUAUGUCUAAAGCUGAAAGAGGCAAUUCAAAACAUCUCUUCUACAGAGCUGUCGAACGAAGACUGGAAUUUCACUUCUUUCCUACUGUUGCUGUUUUGUGUCCAGUAAUUUGCCUCUGAUUGGUGAAUGUUAGUUAUAUUAGUUGAAGGCUUUUAAUAGAUCUGGAUAAAAUAACUUGCUACUAACAGUCAAAAAAGCAUACAAUUUUAUCGCUCCAGUUUGUAAUUGACAAUAGGUCUAAAAUUGAGAAGUGGCAUAUAUUAUACAAAUCCAGGCAGUAGAUCUAACUGAAAUAAAACUCUUCUUACCCCAUAUCUGAAGAGUUAAAUUAUGCAGGAAGAAGUUCCACAUCUUCUGUCUUCAGUUUACCAGCUAUCCGUACAACUGCAGUGCCUUGCAUCUGACAUCAGUUUUUUGCAAAAGCAAAAGCCUGAGUACGUCACUGCGUCUAUGAUGCAUCACACCUUUUUCUUAGACAUGACUUGGUAUACUGCAAUUUUAAUUUGUCACAAUGAGGAACUAGGUCAGAACUGCUUAGUUUGUUUCUCAUAGUAAUGUGAAAUGCAACUAAUACCGAAGCACUGGCUGGGAGUCCUCUAGCAGCCCAAAACUUGCCUUCUGCUGAGCCUUUAGACUCAAAUUUCUUGUACCCUUGUUUCCUACGUGUUGUGUUUUUUCUUUUCACCAGAUCAGCUGGAAUUCUGGGUCUGUCACAUGCUGUGUGAGUAGCUCAGUUUGAGUUAUAAACAGCGUAAUUCCAUGUAGUCUGUGCUUAAACUCUUUUUUAUUUCUCGUCCCUUGCCCACUUGAAAACUGGCAAAAUGGUAGAAAUCCAAAUAGGACGUAUAUUUCCUGUCUGGGACCCUGUGCAUUUGUGGGGAAGAAAAGGGCCUGUGCUGCUGUAAGAGGAGUAAACUGACAGCUGGGCAGUAGGAAGAGGCUUGAUUGAGAUCUGGUGCCUGAGAUGAUGCAGAACACUUCAGGGGUGGCAAAGUCCCCAGAUUUCCAGCCUCAGUGGCUCUCAAUGCUCAGCUUGAGUCUUAAUUUGCAGGGUCCUCAUGUCCUGCAGAAGUCGAGGCUCAGCAAAGUUCAAUAGCUCCCUUUGGUAGUAUCCAACACUUCAAAACUUUGAGCUGCACAACCAAGUUGCAUUGUCACCAGAAAGGAAAACAUGACCACUUGUCCCAUCCCAUGUAAUUUGGUUUUCUUUCCACUAUGCAUUUCUACCCAUUUUCUAAGGAUUUAAAGUAUUCUAAAGCAUUUCCUAUAAUAUAUUUUACUACUGUCACUAUCUUUAAAGGAAGACAUUUGUUCAGUUUAAAGAUAAAAACUUGUUUGUAAUAGAUUACAGGUGUUAAAUAAAAAUAUCAAUGUUUAAAUGGGUUUAAGAUUAAAGCUUUUGUUCUUUUCAUCAGGUUUACAACUGUUAAUGACACCAGAGAAUCAAUAGUGGUGGCACAUUCUCAAACAGCUGUUACUGUGAUAUUAAAAGAUAUACCUGCCCUUUCAUAAACAGUGUAGGGAAAAAUGCCUCCUUUUCAUAGAUUUUUAGUAUAAUAAAUAAUAAUAAACAGCAUAGUGAAACUCCUCAAUUACACGUAUAAUCACUAAUUACACUAAUAUCAAUCUAUGACUGUUGCCGUCAUGAAAGAAGAAGGAAAAGAUGGACAAUUUCAUCUUACAGGAAAAGUUUUUAAAUUCUGUAUGAAGUACACCAGAAUCAUCUUCCUAGUGUGGGCUAACUCCAUAGU